GCUCAGACUCAUUAACUGUCUCUCUUCCUUGUUGCGGUGAUGGAGGACGGACCAGCCGCAGCCGAGGCACCGAAAUCAACCUGCUGAAGGCCUCGUUUCACGGACUGAAGAACCCACGAUGGACAUAUUUUUAUAAGGUGGUGAGAACCCUGCAGGAGCUCCAGCUCUGCUUUAUCGCCUCAGUUUGAGGUCUUCUAGUUUAAAUCUGAAUAUUGAUGCUUUGUCAUAGUGUUUAGUCUGUUUAGAGCGGUAAUGAAUCCUGAUUUAAGAUACUUGGUGGACGCUUUAUUAGCAAUAUCUGUACAGUUGGUUGCAUUUCAAUAAAGCAGCUCUGCUAUACUUGA
Molecule: long non-coding RNA, 344 nt
Organism: Stegastes partitus (bicolor damselfish)
Lineage: Eukaryota; Metazoa; Chordata; Actinopteri; Pomacentridae
Exons: 3
Source: RefSeq, a predicted model, not a curated record